UACGAAGGGUGCAAGCGUUACUCGGAAUUACUGGGCGUAAAGGGUGCGUAGGUGGUUCGUUAAGUCUGAUGUGAAAGCCCUGGGCUCAACCUGGGAAUUGCAUUGGAUACUGGCGGGCUGGAGUGCGGUAGAGGGUAGUGGAAUUCCAGGUGUAGCAGUGAAAUGCGUAGAUAUCGGGAGGAACAUCCGUGGCGAAGGCGACUGCCUGGACCAGCACUGACACUGAGGCACGAAAGCGUGGGGAGCAAACAGGAUUAGAUACCCGCGUA
This 269-nucleotide ribosomal RNA is filed under the name uncultured prokaryote. Its description in RNAcentral is "partial 16S ribosomal RNA". It matches the Rfam family "Bacterial small subunit ribosomal RNA", at positions 524 to 792 of the family's 1533-position model. The record is from RNAcentral.